AUGUAUUUUCUACAUACACUCCGGUUCCUGCGCUCCGGGUGCACCCGGCUGAAACCCGCUCGUGACGUUUUUCAACA
This 77-nucleotide small RNA is filed under the name Betaproteobacteria bacterium. Its description in RNAcentral is "sX9 sRNA". It matches the Rfam family "Xanthomonas sRNA sX9". Lineage: Bacteria; Pseudomonadati; Pseudomonadota; Betaproteobacteria. The record is from RNAcentral.